GAUUACAUAAAACCCUCUCUGUAAUCGCGGCUG
RNAcentral lists this non-coding RNA (33 nucleotides) under unclassified sequences. Its description in RNAcentral is "S4-Bacteroidia ribosomal protein leader". It matches the Rfam family "S4-Bacteroidia ribosomal protein leader". The record is from RNAcentral.